GAUUAUGGCUCAGGAUGAACGCUGGCGGCGUGCCUAACACAUGCAAGUCGAGCGUGAACCCUUAGAAUGAAACUUCGGUCGAAUGAAGAGGGGGAAGGCGGCGGACGGGUGAGUAACGCGUAGGCAACCUGCCCCGUACAGAGGGAUAGCCUCGGGAAACCGGGAUUAAAACCUCAUAAUACCAUGGUAUCACAUGAUGCAAUGGUCAAAGAUUUAUCGGUAUGGGAUGGGCCUGCGUCUGAUUAGCUGGUUGGUGGGGUAACGGCCUACCAAGGCAACGAUCAGUAGCCGACCUGAGAGGGUAAUCGGCCACAUUGGAACUGAGACACGGUCCAAACUCCUACGGGAGGCAGCAGUGGGGAAUAUUGCACAAUGGGCGAAAGCCUGAAUGCAGCAACGCCGCGUGAGCGAAGAAGGCCUUUGGGUCGUAAAGCUCUGUCGGGAAGGAAGAUAAUGACGGUACUUCCCGAGGAAGCCCCGGCUAACUACGUGCCAGCAGCCGC
This 503-nucleotide ribosomal RNA is filed under the name uncultured bacterium. Its description in RNAcentral is "bacterial SSU rRNA". It matches the Rfam family "Bacterial small subunit ribosomal RNA", at positions 15 to 518 of the family's 1533-position model. The record is from RNAcentral.